UUCUACCUACGGGAGGCAGCAGUGAGGAAUAUUGGUCAAUGGCCGAGAGGCUGAACCAGCCAAGUCGCGUGAGGGAUGACGGUCCUACGGAUUGUAAACCUCUUUUGCCGGGGAGCAAGCGUGCGUUCGUGAACGCGCGUCGAGAGUACCCAGAGAAAAAGCAUCGGCUAACUCCGUGCCAGCAGCCGCGGUAAUACGGAGGAUGCGAGCGUUAUCCGGAUUUAUUGGGUUUAAAGGGUGCGUAGGCGGUCCGUUAAGUCAGCGGUAAAAUUGCGGGGCUCAACCCCGUCGAGCCGUUGAAACUG
This 305-nucleotide ribosomal RNA is filed under the name uncultured bacterium. RNAcentral describes it as "bacterial SSU rRNA". It matches the Rfam family "Bacterial small subunit ribosomal RNA", at positions 334 to 635 of the family's 1533-position model. The record is from RNAcentral.